RNAcentral lists this ribosomal RNA (429 nucleotides) under Chloroflexota bacterium. RNAcentral describes it as "Chloroflexi bacterium partial 16S ribosomal RNA". It matches the Rfam family "Bacterial small subunit ribosomal RNA", at positions 355 to 776 of the family's 1533-position model. Lineage: Bacteria; Bacillati; Chloroflexota. The record is from RNAcentral.
UGGGGAAUAUUGCACAAUGGGCGCAAGCCUGAUGCAGCCAUGCCGCGUGUAUGAAGAAGGCUUUCGGGUUGUAAAGUACUUUCAGCGGGGAGGAAGGGAGUAAAGUUAAUACCUUUGCCCAUUGACGUUACCCGCAGAAGAAGCACCGGCUAACUCCGUGCCAGCAGCCGCGGUAAUACGGAGGGUGCAAGCGUUAAUCGGAAUUACUGGGCGUAAAGCGCACGCAGGCGGUUUGUUAAGUCAGAUGUGAAAUCCCCGGGCUCAACCUGGGAACUGCAGCUGAUACUGGCAAGCUUGAGUCUCGUAGAGGGGGGUAGGAUUCCAGGUGUAGCGGUGAAAUGCGUAGAGAUCUGGAGGAAUACCGGUGGCGAAGGCGGCCCCCUGGACGAAGACUGACGCUCAGGUGCGAAAGCGUGGGGAGCAAACAGG